RNAcentral lists this ribosomal RNA (329 nucleotides) under uncultured eukaryote. RNAcentral's name for it is "partial 18S ribosomal RNA". It matches the Rfam family "Eukaryotic small subunit ribosomal RNA", at positions 1470 to 1796 of the family's 1831-position model. The record is from RNAcentral.
CCCUUAGAUGUUCUGGGCCGCACGCGCGCUACACUGACGAUGGCAACGAGUUUUUCCUCCGCCGAAAGGUGUGGGUAAUCUUUUGAAACAUCGUCGUGCUGGGGAUAGAUCAUUGCAAUUUUUGAUCUUGAACGAGGAAUUCCUAGUAAGCGCGAGUCAUCAGCUCGCGUUGAUUACGUCCCUGCCCUUUGUACACACCGCCCGUCGCUACUACCGAUUGAAUGGUUUAGUGAGGACUCCUGAUUGGCGCCGCCGCCCCGGCAACGGAGCAGCGGACUGCCGAAAAGUUGUUCAAACUUGAUCAUUUAGAGGAAGUAAAAGUCGUAACA